RNAcentral lists this long non-coding RNA (425 nucleotides) under Phascolarctos cinereus (koala). RNAcentral's name for it is "lncRNA (ENSPCIG00000016056.2)". The record is from RNAcentral. Lineage: Eukaryota; Metazoa; Chordata; Mammalia; Diprotodontia; Phascolarctidae.
AAGUGAACUUUCCAAUUCAUUAAAUCCUAGGUGUAAACAGAAGCAAGAGGAAAAGUUAGUGAAAAUGAAACUGCUGAUCUUCUUCCAGUUUUGCCAUCAAGAUGUCCCCAGGGAGUCAUUUUCUGGAAUGAAGGAUAAAAAAUUGAGAGAAAAAUAAUCAGCAAAACUAACCAAUACAUUGAACUUGGACAGCUCACUUUAUAAAAUUGCUGAACUCUACAAUUAUACAGUGGCAAGAAUCAAGACAGGGUGAAUUCAGCAUGCAGUGCAGGUGUCUUCAGGUCUAGUAGUGCCAAGUUUGUUACUUUCAUCACUGACAUACCAUUUCAUUGUCAAUUAAUUUUUGUUGCUGUAUUGAAGAGCAGAGUAAGUGGGACUUUAUGUUGGUGUUAUUUAUUAACAAUGCUUUCCAUGACUCAGAGGGU